UAGGGAAUCUUCGGCAAUGGACGAAAGUCUGACCGAGCAACGCCGCGUGAGUGAAGAAUGUUUUCGGAUCGUAAAACUCUGUUGUUAGAGAAGAACAAGGACGUUAGUAACUGAACGUCCCCUGACGGUAUCUAACCAGAAAGCCACGGCUAACUACGUGCCAGCAGCCGCGGUAAUACGUAGGUGGCAAGCGUUGUCCGGAUUUAUCGGUCGUAAAGCGAGCGCAGGCGGUUUCUUAAGUCUGAUGUGAAAGCCCCCGGCUCAAACGAAGAAGGUCAUUGGAAACUGGGGGACUUGAGUGCAGAAGAGGAGAGUGGAAUUGCAUGUGUAGCGGAGAAAUGGGUAGAUAUAUGGAGGAAAACCAGUGGCGAAGGCGGCUCUAUGGACUGUAACGGACGCAGAGGCUCGAAAGGGUGGCGAGCAAACAGG
RNAcentral lists this ribosomal RNA (429 nucleotides) under Gemmatimonadota bacterium. RNAcentral's name for it is "Gemmatimonadetes bacterium partial 16S ribosomal RNA". It matches the Rfam family "Bacterial small subunit ribosomal RNA", at positions 355 to 776 of the family's 1533-position model. Lineage: Bacteria; Pseudomonadati; Gemmatimonadota. The record is from RNAcentral.